This is a long non-coding RNA of Ipomoea nil (Japanese morning glory), 466 nucleotides long. RefSeq lists it as uncharacterized. Lineage: Eukaryota; Viridiplantae; Streptophyta; Magnoliopsida; Solanales; Convolvulaceae. The transcript has 4 exons. The record is from RefSeq and is a predicted model, not a curated record.
UUCUUCUCCGGGAGGGCAGAUUUCUGGGCGAAAAUUUACUCAGAGGGUAAUUGUUUGAAGAUUAAACUCCUAACAGAGAUGGAUCCUAGAUACGCAGGAGAAACGCUAAAACAUUUAGAGAAGGAAUACGAGCUCCUUAUGGAAGCCUAUAAUUCCAUGUCGCACGAAUUGCAUACGCUUCAGGUUGAGGAAGAAAUGCUGAUGCGCAAGUUCUAUGAACUCAUGACUGCUCGUGGUCAAACUGAAAACAAAGCAGCGGAUAAUGAUGGCAUGGAUAACCAACCAACAGGAGGGUGCUGAAAGAGCUUUAGUCAGUGUGAGGAGUGAUGAGCAGUAAUGCUGCUGCAAUGGUGCAUUUGAUACAUCUAUCUUUUCAUUUUGGAUCUGUAAAUUUUGUAGUCUUAUCAACAUUGCAUAUUGAGAUUUGCUGUUAUGGAAGUAAUUCUUUGUUCUUGUGUUUUUCAAA